This is a long non-coding RNA of Oncorhynchus tshawytscha (Chinook salmon), 1041 nucleotides long. The record is from Ensembl. NCBI's taxonomy places the organism in Eukaryota, Metazoa, Chordata, Actinopteri, Salmoniformes, Salmonidae.
ACAACUUGUAUCAACAUUUACAUCACGCGCACUGCGCCUUUCGUCUGAGACGGUGUCCAUGAUUUAUUUGGUUCAAAUGAAUGUGCAGCGUGCUCCGUCUCUGUGAGCUGAGAGAUAGAGAGGAGGAAAUACCAGGCCACUCUGGGAAAUACAGUACCACGGAGACGUCUGAUGCUCUUCACCAAAAAUAACAUACGUGGAUGUAUUUGCAAUGAAUGCCAUGCAAAAAAGAAGUACUGAGAUUCCCUGUCAGCACAUCGACGCGAUUGACAGAAGUUUUCAGCGACCCUGUUGAGAAAGAGAAAAGUGCUCUCAAAUGCGUUGCAAGUAUCGGGGCUCAAGGACUAUCUCGGCUUCUUUUUUUAUUUUGCUUCAAACACAAUCGGACUCCUCCGGUCGCCAACAGAAGCCUACAGUAUUAUAAGGUUGAUGCGUAGACAGUAUGAGCAACAUGAUGAACAUAGAAGGAGAUUAUAUCUGGGGUUCCGCCCUGCAUUCAUGUUGUGAUGGAGCAAAGCCCCGCUCCCUGAUCGACACACGUCUGGUAUAUGCUGUGCUGUUACCCGAUCACUUGUUUUUGAAGCGGUACAAUAUCUCACGCCCGCUUUUCAUAUCGCAGACAGAGAUAUCGGGUGUCAGCCAGACGUGACCCAGUUUAGUAACUGAGCAACAUUUCGGAGGAUUUCCAACAGGUGUGGAACAAAGGGAAGGCUUCGUUGUUCGUAAUAGAAAGAAUGAUCCGGUUUCAGAUCGUCUUCAUGUGCUUGCUUGUUAAGUGACAAUUAAGUGAAGAGAGAUUCACUUCCCCUUUACCAAACGAACGUUAAUAAAGCAUAAAGCAUAAUGCGUUACAGUGAUGAAAUGGGAUUGUGCCGUUUCCGUAAGUUCCUGAAACAGUGCUGUUUAAGUCCUACGUAGCUUGGACAGCUAUCUCGUUAGAAGUGUGCCAUUUCAAUAGAUUCCAACACAAUACUCCUAUUUAAAGUGUCUCAAAGAUGGGGAUCGACGCAUGAAGCCAGGACAAAGAAACAUCGACAGCCA